Molecule: ribosomal RNA, 497 nt
Filed under: uncultured bacterium
Lineage: Bacteria
Description: partial 16S ribosomal RNA
Rfam family: Bacterial small subunit ribosomal RNA
Source: RNAcentral
GAUGAACGCUGGCGGCGUGCCUAAUACAUGCAAGUCGAGCGAACGGACGAGAAGCUUGCUUCUCUGAUGUUAGCGGCGGAUGGGUGAGUAACACGUGGAUAACCUAUCUAUAAGACUGGGCUAACUUCGGGAAACCGGAGCUAAUACCGGAUAAUAUUUUGAACCGCAUGGUUCAAAAGUGAAAGACGGUCUUGCUGUCACUUAUAGAUGGAUCCGCGCUGCAUUAGCUAGUUGGUAAGGUAACGGCUUACUACGGCAACGAUGCAUAGCGGACCUGAGAGGGAGAGCGUCCACGCUGGAACUGAGACACGGUCCAGACUCCUACGGGGGGCAGCAGUAGGGGAUCUUCCGCGAUGGGCGAAAGCGUGACGGAGCAACGCCGCGUGAGUGAUGAGGGUCUUCGGAUCGUAAAACUCUGUUAUUAGGGAAGAACAUAUGUGUACGUAACUGUGCGCAUCUUGACGGUACCUAAUCAGAAAGCCACGGCUAACUACGUG